This 1008-nucleotide small RNA is filed under the name Pan troglodytes (chimpanzee). RNAcentral describes it as "retained intron". Lineage: Eukaryota; Metazoa; Chordata; Mammalia; Primates; Hominidae. The record is from RNAcentral.
GAGGAUGCUGCCAGGGAAGGGCACUGACGUGCAUGGACCUGGAGGAUGCCACUGGCCAAAAGCUAGGAUCUCACUCACGUGUGGGAUCCGAAAACCCUGAAUUCAUGGAAACAGAGAGUGGAAAGGGGGUUGCAGGAGGCCGGGGCAGGAAGAGAGAUAGAGAAAGCAGAGACGUUGGUGAAAGGGUGCAAAGCGUUCGUUAGCUGGAGCUGUGGGCUUCAAGGUCAGCCGCGCUGUGUGGCGGCCACCACUGCCGUUAACCACAGUACACAGGGUGCUCGGUGCUGCUGUGGUCGGCCAACAAGGUGUUUGAGGAGCUGACGGACAUUGAGAGGCAGUUCCACAAGGCCUUCUACACGGUGCGGGCCUACCUCAACUGUGAGCGGUACUCCGUGGGCCUCCUGGACAUGACCAAGGAGAAGGAAUUUUUUGACGUGUGGCCUGUGCUGAUGGGAGAGUCCCAGCCGUACUUGGGCCCACGCACGCCUGAUGGCCGGGUGAGUCUUAGGGGAGGGGCCCAGGGCCUGUCCACACGCCUCUGUUUCCCUGACUCCAACUCCAGGGCAGGAGAGGGAGGGAUAGGGGUGGGGUUUAGGGAGGUGGGAACUGGCCGGUGGGACCCCGGGUGCCUGUCUGUGGUCUCCACCAGGCUCCCCUGCUGCUGCACUCCAGGGAUGGGGUGUCCAGGGCUGGUCCCUGAAUGAGGGCCGCCAGGCUGGUCGUGAAGACCCACGUCGGCUCUGAUUGUGGGGGCUCCUGCUGCCCCAUCUCCCCACGUGGGACCCCCUGUGCACGUGUAGGAUGCGUGUGUGUGUGUGAGAGAAUACGGGCCCAGCUUGUGUGUGGGAUUGUGCGGAACACAGACUGGGAAGACAGAUCUAAACCGCGGCGUGUGAUGCGUGUCCCGUGAGUAUUGGUGACGGUCUGCAUGUGUGUGCACCCUGAGCCUGUGCAUGUGUGGACAUGGGUGUGAGUGCGCCCGCAUUCGUAGAAUACCUGCGCACGGCG